Molecule: RNA transcript, 1813 nt
Organism: Musa acuminata AAA Group (dessert banana)
Lineage: Eukaryota; Viridiplantae; Streptophyta; Magnoliopsida; Zingiberales; Musaceae
Gene name: transcription termination factor MTERF4, chloroplastic-like
Exons: 3
Source: RefSeq, a predicted model, not a curated record
GUCGAACACGGUAACGCACUUCUAGGGUUUAAGACGCAGGUACUUCCGGCCAAAACGCGCUCCUCUAUACGCAGCUACGCCACCUUCGCUAGGUUUUGGUAAAGAGAAGGAACCUACAAAGAAGAAGAAGAAGAAGAAGAAGAAGAAGAAGAAGACGAUGACAUUGAUGAAUAGGUCGCCCUACGUCUCUCUCUUGUCCAAAGCCCUUGCAUUCGUCCCUUGCUGUCGUCCGGCCGAUGCUGCCCUUUUUCUCGCAACCCAUUCUUAUUCCGCCGCCUCCGGUGCUCCAGAGAGCAGCCUUAUGGCUGAAUACCUGGUCAGCUACUGUGGCUUCCAUCCUGAUCAGGCGGCCAAAGCCUCGAAGCUCCUUGGUCGCGUCGAAUCCCGCCACCAGCCUGACUCCGUCCUUGGCUUUUUUAAAAGCUACGGUUUUGACAACACCCAGGUGAAAAAGGUCAUAUCUGCAAACCCCCGGUGGCUUCUCCUCGACGUGGAGAAGACCCUGGCCCCAAAGUUCCGAGCUUUGCAGGAUCUGGGCUUCUCCUGCUCCGACAUCACCCACCUCGUCAGAUCGAAUAACCACGUCAUCAGCGACAAAUCCCAGACCAUCUUGUCCAAGAUCCAAUUAUGGCAAUGCCUCCUCGGGUCCAACGACUUACUGAUGAACUUGUGCAAGAAAAACAGGAGGUUUCUCGGGUAUAGCAUCGAGAAGACGAUCCAGCCUAACACUGAAAUUCUAAGGGAUUGCGGGAUGACGGAUCAGAAGCUCUCAAUGAUCCUAAGGCAAUAUCCUCUCCUCAUAACCCGGAAUGCUGAAACCCUGAAGGCGUUAAUCAGUCGUGCCGAGGGUUUGGGAGUAGCUUGCACCUCAGGGAUGUUCCCCUUGACCCUGACUGUGCUCCACAACGUCUCCGAGAAUAACUUCAAGGCUCACUUGGAGUUCUUCGAGGGCUUCGGGUGGUCCGAGGAUGAUUUCCUUGCUGCAUUCAGAAAGGCUCCUACGUUUGUGCAAAUUUCUUUAAAGAGUUUGCAGAGGAAGUUGGAGUUCUUGGUAAAUGAAGCCGGAUGUGCUCCAUCUCAUAUUGCACUUCGGCCAGAUAUUUUGUUGUGCAGUUUGGAGAAAAGGUUGAUGCCAAGGCAUCAGAUUGUGACAGGCCUGAAGUCUAGGGGAGUUUGCAUCAGUAACCUUAGUAUGUCUACAUACGUGAAAUAUUCAGAGAAGAAAUUUGUGGAGAAGUUCGUCAACCGCUACAAGGAGUAUCCAGAACUCAUUGAGUUGUAUAAUGGAGUCCCCAAAAACAUCACUGCAUUUGAUCGUGGAAAUGCAUAAUGCAUAGCACAAGCUUUUGUACCAGCAAGUUAUGUUUCCAGAUGAUCCGUAGCUGGGGAACUAUGGAUUGAGAAGUGUUCGAUUCUAGCAAGGUAGGUACUUGGUUAAAUUAAACUGAAGCACUGCUUACUCCUGUUGAGUUAUCGGGAUCAAGAGAAGUUUUAGAUGACUUGCACCCUAUCGCAUGUUGAUCAUCGUAGAGAUGUUUUCCUAACAAAGGCUUGAGUCGUUAUCAGCGAAGAAUUAUACAUGUACUGUACUGCCUCAUAACUAGCUGCUGGAUAGGGUCAGGUUCUUUCAGUAGGAAAAGACUGAUGCUGUUUGCAAGGCUUGAUACUUUUUGUGGGGGAUUUUGUCUCUAAAAGGACUGAGAUCCUUUCAACUUGUAGAACUAUAUAUGUUCUAGGAUUUUAUGCCCUCUAAAAUUGCUUGCUAAACAAGAUCAAUUUAUUUUUUAUCGUUAUUAUCAGGUUUUGUUGGUAA